This 682-nucleotide ribosomal RNA is filed under the name uncultured organism. RNAcentral's name for it is "bacterial SSU rRNA". It matches the Rfam family "Bacterial small subunit ribosomal RNA", at positions 165 to 829 of the family's 1533-position model. The record is from RNAcentral.
AAUACAAGAUAUAGUGUAUAAAGUAAGUGAAGGGGGAAAGCAGCCUCGGCUGCGUCAAUAGAUGAGCCUGCGCCCCAUUAGCUAGUUGGUAGGGUAAAGGCCUACCAAGGCGACGAUGGGUAGCCGGCCUGAGAGGGUGACCGGCCACACUGGGACUGAGACACGGCCCAGACUCCUACGGGAGGCAGCAGCUAAGAAUCUUCCGCAAUGGACGAAAGUCUGACGGAGCGACGCCGCGUGGGUGAAGAAGGCCGAGAGGUUGUAAAGCCCUUUUAUAGGUGAGGAAUAAUUUUAGGAGGCAAUGCCUAAGAGAUGACGUUAGCCUAUGAAUAAGCUCCGGCCAAUUCCGCUGCCAGCAGCCCGCGGUUAACACGUACCGAGCGAGCGUUGUUCGGAAUUAUUGGGCGUAAAGGGUGCGCAGGGCGGAUUAAUAAGCCUGGUGUGAAAUACCGCAGGCUUAACUGGCGGAAACCGCGCUGUGAACUGUUAAAUCUGGAGUUAUAGAGGGGGGUCUGGAAUUCCUGGUGUAGGGGGUGAAAUCUGGUGAUAUCAGGAAGAAUACCGGAGGCGAAGGCGAGACCCUGGCUAUAAACUGACGCUGAGGCACGAAAGCGUAGGGAGCGAACAGGAUUAGAUACCCUGGUAGUCUACGCUGUAAACGAUGUACACUUGGUGUCUGCCC